CUUGGUCAUUUAGAGGAAGUAAAAGUCGUAACAAGGUUUCCGUAGGUGAACCUGCGGAAGGAUCAUUAGUGAAAAACAGGGUGUCUUCGGACCCCAACCUCUCACAUCCACACACACCUGUGCACCUGUUGGCGAUUGAGACCUUCGAGUCUUAAUUGUCCUUUUUAAUCACACACUUUUUGUCCUUUGGAUGUAAUCUUCUAUCGCUGUAAUGGCGUCGAAACUUAAUAAAACUUUUAACAACGGAUCUCUUGGCUCUCGCAUCGAUGAAGAACGCAGCGAAAUGCGAUAAGUAAUGUGAAUUGCAGAAUUCAGUGAAUCAUCGAAUCUUUGAACGCACCUUGCGCUCCCUGGUAUUCCGGGGAGCAUGCCUGUUUGAGUGUCAUGAAGCUCUCAACUCCCACCGGGUUUACUCGUUUGGGAGCUUGGACUUGGACGUCUGCCGGUUCUCUCCUGAAGAGAUUGGCUCGUCUGAAAUGGAUUAGCAGGUUCCGCUCCAAUCACAACGGUUCCACUCGGCGUAAUAAGUAUUAUCGUUGAGGACGNCUUCGGACGGCCGUUGUGGGAAAANGGGAYCSYUUCCAAMANWUCCNUCGAAUCCUCGUGAUUCGAAUACCCAAUCAUAACAUCUGGCCUCAAAUCAGGUAGGACUACCCGCUGAACUUAAGCAUAUCAAUAAGCGGAGGAAAAGAAACUAACAAGGAUUCCCCUAGUAACGGCGAGUGAAGCGGGAAGAGCUCAAAUUUAAAAUCUGGCGGCCUCAGGUCGUCCGAGUUGUAGUCUAGAGAAGUGUUUUCCGCGCCGGACCGUGUACAAGUCUCCUGA
This 825-nucleotide ribosomal RNA is filed under the name uncultured fungus. RNAcentral describes it as "eukaryotic LSU rRNA". The stretch from base 232 to 385 matches the Rfam family "5.8S ribosomal RNA". The record is from RNAcentral. Lineage: Eukaryota; Fungi.